Arabidopsis suecica is the source of this 149-nucleotide non-coding RNA. Lineage: Eukaryota; Viridiplantae; Streptophyta; Magnoliopsida; Brassicales; Brassicaceae. The record is from the annotation of a GenBank genome assembly.
AUAGCCUCCGAAUAACGGGAAGGUGAAAUAUAGGAACACCUUCUUGUUCAGACAGAGGCUUAUAUCAAAACCCGAAUCAGUUUUUGUGUGUGAAAAAGCUCUCUCCUUUUUUGCCCUUAAUAUCCUUCGAUGGAUAGAUUCGAACAUCU